UGAUGAAGGCCUUCGGGUUGUAAAGCUCUUUCGGCCGGGACGAUAAUGACGGUGACCCGUAGAAGAGGCCCCGGCUAACUUCGUGCCAGCAGCCGCGGUAAUACUUCGGGGGCUAGCGUUGCUCGGAAUUACUGGGCGUAAAGUUCGCGUAGAUUGCUUGGUAAGUCGGGGGUGAAAGCCCGGGGCUCAACUCGGGAACUGCCUCCCAGACUGAACCUCUUGAUUCCGGUAGAAGUGGGUGGAAUUGCGGGUGUAGAGGUGAAAUUCGUAUUUAUUGGGAAGAACACCAUUGGCGAAAGCGGGUCACUGGCCCGGUACUGACGCUGAGUUCCGAAAGCUUGGGGAGCAAACAGGAUUAAAUACCCUGGUAGUCCACGCCGUAAAUAAUCCGUGCUAGCC
RNAcentral lists this ribosomal RNA (399 nucleotides) under uncultured Blastochloris sp. Its description in RNAcentral is "bacterial SSU rRNA". It matches the Rfam family "Bacterial small subunit ribosomal RNA", at positions 406 to 821 of the family's 1533-position model. The record is from RNAcentral. Lineage: Bacteria; Pseudomonadati; Pseudomonadota; Alphaproteobacteria; Hyphomicrobiales; Blastochloridaceae.